CUGCAGUGGAGCACGAGCAUUUAACCGCUGCGCCACCAGGCUGGCCCCCUAAAUAUUUCUUGACUUGGCAUUCUCAUCAUAAUCUCUACCACCACUGCUCAGGUUCGGGAUCUCAUUUAUUGCCUGGAUUACUACAGUAUUUUCCUAACUGGUCUCCCUAUCUUCAAUCGUGUUCUUUUCAAAUUACCCUUCAUAAAAUGACCAGAAUGAUUUAUUUAACAUUCAAUUCUAGAUUACAGUCCUCGUUAAGAUGGUUAAGUGCCUGACAGUCUUUGUUUCUCACUGAACACAAUCAUAAAACCUGGACAGAAUGGAUGGCCCAGCUGUUUGAGAAUUCUGAAAAGUAAAUAGCUGCAGGCAGAUUGGAGAAGAAUACCAGAAUCUGAGGAACCAACAAACCAGUGAGGUGGAACACAGGUGGCUGGUUUAAGUGGGCUAAGCUGGUGGAGUUCCAGAGCUGAGAACCAGUGCUUGAAGUCUGGAUGGUGCACCUCGAUGAACCAGCCAUUGGACCGAGUCAGGCUACGUACACUGGCCUUCAGAAUUGCCUUUCAGAAGAAACCUAAAGGUAGGGCACAGGACCUUUUCCCUCAGCCAAAGCCUUGGAAAACCCAAUGAAUAAUUGAUUUUCAAACUGCUUUCCCCCACCAAAGUGGAUCUGAAUCUUCUGUGGCCUUAAGGUGAGCAGGUGUGGGGUCAAGUGAAUGAACAACAUCUUCCUGGCUUUCUUUCAAUCUACU
This is a long non-coding RNA of Diceros bicornis minor, 740 nucleotides long. RefSeq lists it as uncharacterized. The record is from RefSeq and is a predicted model, not a curated record. The transcript is spliced from 3 exons. Lineage: Eukaryota; Metazoa; Chordata; Mammalia; Perissodactyla; Rhinocerotidae.